CUGCUACCAGGGCGGGCGCGCGCGUCCAUCCCUACUCGGACUCCUCGACGGCGGCCUCCACCCGGAGCAGCACGAAGCCGACGGCGACGCCGACGAGCACGAGGCCGUUCAUGAUGGCGGCGAUCCUGAAGAUCUCCGCCGCGGCGUUCAUCUGGGCGCCGAACGCGCUGCCGCGCCGCGUCUUGCCGGCGGGGCUGAGCGAGGCGACGAUCUUGGCGAAGGAGUAGUCGGCGGUCUUGCGCAUGCCGAGCAUGGUGACCUUGUUGAGCCCCUUGAGGCCGCUGUAGGCGUUCAUGCCCUCCACGUACGUGACGCCGCCGGACGACCUCUUCUUGGCCGCCGGGGCCGCCAGCGACGGGAUCGUUGCCACGGCGAACGACGCCAUUCCUGCGCUCUCGGUGGGCUAGAGCCUGCGAGUCGACAGCGGACGAGCAAAGUGAGAAUUGCAACGCACGGCAACGUCGUGACGCGCUGUGAUGCAGGGAACGGGAAGAAUGCGG
RNAcentral lists this long non-coding RNA (500 nucleotides) under Setaria italica (foxtail millet). RNAcentral describes it as "long non-coding RNA (SITA_LNC006458)". The record is from RNAcentral. Lineage: Eukaryota; Viridiplantae; Streptophyta; Magnoliopsida; Poales; Poaceae.